AAAGUGUAUAAAGUGUGUUAAAAGUGAGUAGUAUUUUAAGUAAUUUGAGGUAAUUCUUAAUUAUGUAGAUAAUUGAUUAACUGACGGGAUAAUUAUAAUUAAGUAGAUAAAGAUCCUUUUUGGGGAUGCUACUUGGCAUCAAUCUAAGCCAAAAUGGCACUAAUAGGCUUGAUGAGUCAUAAGGCAUAAAAUGACUUGUUUACACGUACAAAGUUUUGGAUAAACAAGUACCAAUUCAUGGACUGAAAAACUAGUCUGAGCCAUUUUGGUCUCUUUACUGAUAAGUAACGUGAGGUUUAUAAAAAUCUUCAUCAAUUAAUAAGAAUAGGAAUAGAAACGUUAUCCAAGAGUUUCUUAUCCAAAUUACAUUAGAAACGUCAUUUUGGGGAUGGAAAGGUUUCGGCCAAGAUUUUCUUUGAGCAGUGUGAUUGCGUUGAGCUUUUUAUAUGACUUGUUCCAUGUUUCGGCAAUUAACGUGUGUUAGAGGGAUUAUCAAGAGAAUCGACUCAGCUAUGUUAAGGGACGCCGCGUUCAUGCUCGAAGGUUCCGAUAGACAGGUCGAGUCCUUCAAGUAGGCCAUCAGAUAAGCGAAAGAUGUUGGUGCGCUCCAUUUGCUCCGGAGUUGCUUAUUUUGUCAGUAUGAUAUAGACGUGUAUUGUUUGAUAUGGCGGGGCCCUGCCCCGACGUUUGUGAUAAGUAUGUACUCUUAGAGGCUUGUAGAUAGAUAUAAUGAAUACGAACACAUGUAUGGCCUUGCCGGCCUAUGUUUUGAGUUUACAAAUGAUCAUGUUGGCCUUAUAGGCCCGUA
Nicotiana tabacum (common tobacco) is the source of this 808-nucleotide long non-coding RNA. RefSeq lists it as uncharacterized. NCBI's taxonomy places the organism in Eukaryota, Viridiplantae, Streptophyta, Magnoliopsida, Solanales, Solanaceae. The record is from RefSeq and is a predicted model, not a curated record.